Molecule: ribosomal RNA, 709 nt
Filed under: Theileria annulata
Lineage: Eukaryota; Apicomplexa; Aconoidasida; Piroplasmida; Theileriidae
Description: SSU rRNA
Rfam family: Eukaryotic small subunit ribosomal RNA
Source: RNAcentral
ACCGAGUCUCUGCGCGUGUCCGGUGAUUCAUAAUAAAUCGCGAAUCGCUUUAUUUAGCGAUGUAUCAUUCAAGUUUCUGACCUAUCAGCUUUGGACGGUAGGGUAUUGGCCUACCGGGGCAACGGCGGGUAACGGGGAAAUAGGGUUUUAUUCCGGAGAGGGAGCCUGAGAAACGGCUACCACAUUUAAGGAAGGCAGCAGGCGCGCAAAUUCCCAAUCCUGACACAGGGGGGUAGUGACAAGAAAUAACAAUACGGGGCUUAAUGUUUUGUAAUUGGAAAGAUGGGAAUUUAAACCUUUUCCAGAGUAUCAAUUGGGGGGCAAGUCUGGUGCCCGCACCCGCGGUAAUUCCAGCUCCAAUAGCGUAUAUUAAAUUUGUUGCAGAUAAAAAGCUCGUAGUUGAAUUUCUGCCGCAUUACAUUUCUCUUGUUUGAGUUUGUUAUUGGGGCUUAUUUCGGAUUGAUUUUUAUCUUUCCGGAUGAUUACUUUGAGAAAAUUAGAGUGCUCAAAGCAGGCUUUUGCCUUGAAUAGUUUAGCAUGGAAUAAUAGAGUAGGACUUUGGUUCUAUUUUGUUGGUUUUAGGUACCAAAGUAAUGGUUAAUAGGAACAGUUGGGGGCAUUCGUAUUUAACUGUCAGAGGUGAAAUUCUUAGAUUUGUUAAAGACGAACUACUGCGAAAGCAUUGCCAAGGUAUGUUUCAUAUCGGCGC